Molecule: ribosomal RNA, 505 nt
Filed under: Staphylococcus aureus
Lineage: Bacteria; Bacillati; Bacillota; Bacilli; Caryophanales; Staphylococcaceae
Description: partial 23S ribosomal RNA
Rfam family: Bacterial large subunit ribosomal RNA
Source: RNAcentral
GUCGAAAGACGGACUUAGUGAUCCGGUGGUUCCGCAUGGAAGGGCCAUCGCUCAACGGAUAAAAGCUACCCCGGGGAUAACAGGCUUAUCUCCCCCAAGAGUUCACAUCGACGGGGAGGUUUGGCACCUCGAUGUCGGCUCAUCGCAUCCUGGGGCUGUAGUCGGUCCCAAGGGUUGGGCUGUUCGCCCAUUAAAGCGGUACGCGAGCUGGGUUCAGAACGUCGUGAGACAGUUCGGUCCCUAUCCGUCGUGGGCGUAGGAAAUUUGAGAGGAGCUGUCCUUAGUACGAGAGGACCGGGAUGGACAUACCUCUGGUGUACCAGUUGUCGUGCCAACGGCAUAGCUGGGUAGCUAUGUGUGGACGGGAUAAGUGCUGAAAGCAUCUAAGCAUGAAGCCCCCCUCAAGAUGAGAUUUCCCAACUUCGGUUAUAAGAUCCCUCAAAGAUGAUGAGGUUAAUAGGUUCGAGGUGGAAGCAUGGUGACAUGUGGAGCUGACGAAUACUAA